This 252-nucleotide ribosomal RNA is filed under the name uncultured bacterium. RNAcentral describes it as "partial 16S ribosomal RNA". It matches the Rfam family "Bacterial small subunit ribosomal RNA", at positions 15 to 263 of the family's 1533-position model. The record is from RNAcentral.
GAUCCUGGCUCAGGAUGAGCGCUAGCUACAGGCUUAACACAUGCAAGUCGAGGGGCAGCAUGACCUAGCAAUAGGUUGAUGGCGACCGGCGCACGGGUGAGUAACACGUAUCCAACCUACCGGUUAUUCCGGGAUAGCCUUUCGAAAGAAAGAUUAAUACCGGAUAGUAUAACGAGAAGGCAUCUUCUUGUUAUUAAAGAAUUUCGAUAACCGAUGGGGAUGCAUUCCAUUAGUUUGUUGGCGGGGUAACGG